RNAcentral lists this unclassified non-coding RNA (36 nucleotides) under Yersinia enterocolitica (type O:5) str. YE53/03. Lineage: Bacteria; Pseudomonadati; Pseudomonadota; Gammaproteobacteria; Enterobacterales; Yersiniaceae. RNAcentral also lists the same sequence under 5 other names. The record is from RNAcentral.
GAAAAAAGGCGACAGGUUAAUCUGCCGCCUUUUUUC